Molecule: ribosomal RNA, 1351 nt
Filed under: Microbacterium paraoxydans
Lineage: Bacteria; Bacillati; Actinomycetota; Actinomycetes; Micrococcales; Microbacteriaceae
Description: bacterial SSU rRNA
Rfam family: Bacterial small subunit ribosomal RNA
Source: RNAcentral
UGUGGGAUCAGUGGCGAACGGGUGAGUAACACGUGAGCAACCUGCCCCUGACUCUGGGAUAAGCGCUGGAAACGGCGUCUAAUACUGGAUAUGUGACGUGACCGCAUGGUCUGCGUUCUCGGAAAGAAUUCUCGGUUGGGAAUGGGACUCGCGGGCCUAUCAGCCUGUAGGUGAGGUAAUGGCUCACCAAGGCGUCGACGGGUAGCCGGCCUGAGAGGGGUGACCGGCCACACUGGGACUGAGACACGGCCCAGACUCCUACGGGAGGCAGCAGUGGGGAAUAUUGCACAAUGGGCGGAAGCCUGAUGCAGCAACGCCGCGUGAGGGAUGACGGCCUUCGGGUUGUAAACCUCUUUUAGCAGGGAAGAAGCGAAAGUGACGGUACCUGCAGAAAAAGCGCCGGGCUAACUACGUGCCAGCAGCCGCGGUAAUACGUAGGGCGCAAGCGUUAUCCGGGAAUUAUUGGGCGUAAAGAGCUCGUAGGCGGUUUGUCGCGUCUGCUGUGAAAUCCCGAGGCUCAACCUCGGGCCUGCAGUGGGUACGGGCAGACUAGAGUGCGGUAGGGGAGAUUGGAAUUCCUGGUGUAGCGGUGGAAUGCGCAGAUAUCAGGAGGAACACCGAUGGCGAAGGCAGAUCUCUGGGCCGUAACUGACGCUGAGGAGCGAAAGGGUGGGGAGCAAACAGGCUUAGAUACCCUGGUAGUCCACCCCGUAAACGUUGGGAACUAGUUGUGGGGUCCAUUCCACGGAUUCCGUGACGCAGCUAACGCAUUAAGUUCCCCGCCUGGGGAGUACGGCCGCAAGGCUAAAACUCAAAGGAAUUGACGGGGACCCGCACAAGCGGCGGAGCAUGCGGAUUAAUUCGAUGCAACGCGAAGAACCUUACCAAGGCUUGACAUAUACGAGAACGGGCCAGAAAUGGUCAACUCUUUGGACACUCGUAAACAGGUGGUGCAUGGUUGUCGUCAGCUCGUGUCGUGAGAUGUUGGGUUAAGUCCCGCAACGAGCGCAACCCUCGUUCUAUGUUGCCAGCACGUAAUGGUGGGAACUCAUGGGAUACUGCCGGGGUCAACUCGGAGGAAGGUGGGGGAUGACGUCAAAUCAUCAUGCCCCUUAUGUCUUGGGCUUCACGCAUGCUAACAAUGGACCCGGUUACAAAGGGCUGCCAAUACCGUGAGGUGGAGCGAAUCCCAAAAAGGCCGGUUCCCAGAGUUCUCGGGAAUUGAGGUCUGCAACUCGACCUCAUGAAGUCGGAGUCGCUAGUAAUCGCAGAUCAGCAACGCUGCGGUGAAUACGUUCCCGGGUCUUGUACACACCGCCCGUCAAGUCAUGAAAGUCGGUAACACCUGAAG